GCUUCUGGACAAUACUGACGCUGAGAUGCGAAGCGUGGGGAGCAAACAGGAUUAGAUACCUGGUAGUCACGCUGUAAACGAUGUCGAUUUGGAGUUUGGGGGCAUGACCCUUGGGCUCCGGAGCUAACGCGUUAAAUCGACCGCUGGGGAGUACGGCCGCAAGGUUAAAACUCAAAUGAAUUGACGGGGGCCCGCACAAGCGGUGGAGCAUGUGGUUUAAUUCGAUGCAACGCGAAGAACCUUACCUGGUCUUGACAUCCAUAGAAUCUUUCAGAGAUGAGAGAGUGCCUUCGGGAGCUAUGAGACAGGUGCUGCAUGGCUGUCGUCAGCUCGUGUUGUGAAAUGUUGGGUUAAGUCCCGCAACGAGCGCAACCCCUAUCCUUUGUUGCCAGCACGUAAUGGUGGGAACUCAAAGGAGACUGCCGUUGAUAAAGCGGAGGAAGGUGGGGACGACGUCAAGUCAUCAUGGCCCUUACGACCAGGGCUACACACGUGCUACAAUGGCGUAUACAAAGGGAUGCGAAGGUGCGAACUGGAGCGGACCUCACAAAGUACGUCUAAGUCCGGAUUAGAGUCUGCAACUCGACUCCAUGAAGUCGGAAUCGCUAGUAAUCGUGAAUCAGAAUGUCACGGUGAAUACGUUCCCGGGCCUUGUACACACCGCCCGUCACACCAUGGGAGUGGGUUGCACCAGAAGUAGAUAGCUUAACCUUCGGGAGGGCGUUUACCACGGUGUGGUUCAUGACUGGGGUGAAGUCGUAACAAGGUAACCA
RNAcentral lists this ribosomal RNA (773 nucleotides) under uncultured Enterobacteriaceae bacterium. RNAcentral's name for it is "bacterial SSU rRNA". It matches the Rfam family "Bacterial small subunit ribosomal RNA", at positions 725 to 1502 of the family's 1533-position model. The record is from RNAcentral. Lineage: Bacteria; Pseudomonadati; Pseudomonadota; Gammaproteobacteria; Enterobacterales; Enterobacteriaceae.